GAGAAAUUAUUUUAAUCAAAAAUAUGAAUCUGUCAGGUUUAAGUUAUCGUAAGAUAUUUCUUU
This 63-nucleotide transfer RNA is filed under the name Tettigades dumfriesi. Its description in RNAcentral is "tRNA-Asp". Lineage: Eukaryota; Metazoa; Arthropoda; Insecta; Hemiptera; Cicadidae. The record is from RNAcentral.